AACUCAAUUGCCCCUAAAAUGGGAAACUGUUCUCCUUCAAGCAUUGGCUAUCAGGUUCCAGCCCCAGCAUUAGUAAAUUUACAUUCUUAUGCCUCUGGCCCUAAUACUGGUGGACCCUCAAUUGGACCACCUCCUGUAAUUACAAACAAAGCUCCAGCAUUUGUUGAGGUCUACUUGGUUUGGGAUGAUGACGCUAUGUCCAUGGAGGAAAGACGAAUGUCCUUGCCAAAGUACCAGGUGCAUGAUGAGACUAGCCAGGUAAGUUAUCAUUACCUAGAACUGGUAUUCUUUCUUCUGGAUAUGGACUUGAGCUGCGCCUGUCGAGAGGUGUUGCAUUCCAUUUCUCAGAUUCAGUUGUUUAACUAUUCUUUCCUUGUCCUUAAGCAAGUUGUCCCCAUUCUCCUUCCUCUUGCUGAAACUAUCUGAUAAACUCUUUGAAGAAUAUCUGAUAAUCCAAUCAAUCAUACUUGAUGUUUCGACCCCAUUAGUUCAUGGACUGUUUUAUCUUUGGCCACUCACUGGUUGGCAAGGAAUCCCAAUAAGUGUGUUCAUCGAAAGAUUCAAGUAUGUAUUUUUAUUAUCUUUUGCUCGUAAUUAAGUAAUGAUAUUUCUGUCAAGAUGGUGAGCAUCUACUCUGAGGAACAGGAUUAUGAAUCGAGUGUAUGUAUUUGUUCUUGGAAAUUUCAUUUUCUGUGUUUAAAUCUUCGCCUGUGCUUGGCCUUGAAAAGAUUUGGGUUUGGGUGAGCAAGCGUACACCUCCAGAUGCGCUGUAAAUUAUAUUGAUUAUACUAUUGACAUAUGGUCAAACAGAGUUUCAAUGUUGGCUCAGGUCAGAUUCUUUUGCCGGGUUAGGAAUCUCAUUGUAUCAGAAGCAUCCUAUGAUUUUCCACUUGUUUGUAAUUCUGAGUACUAUCGGUAUUUCUGUCUUAAGGACUGUUUGUGGUUUCUUCUUUCAGAUGACCUCAAUAGAUGCAGCAAUAGACAGAAGAAUCUCAGAAAGCAGGCUAGCUGGGAGUAUGGCUUUCUAAACAUUAGCAACAUCUAGUGCUAUAGUUUUCCUUUGAUGCAGGGUGCUUGCAACUCCAGGAAUACAACUCUUUGCAUAUCAGUUUUUGAUG
Molecule: unclassified non-coding RNA, 1118 nt
Filed under: Hevea brasiliensis (rubber tree)
Lineage: Eukaryota; Viridiplantae; Streptophyta; Magnoliopsida; Malpighiales; Euphorbiaceae
Source: RNAcentral